Long non-coding RNA from Leopardus geoffroyi (Geoffroy's cat), 196 nucleotides. RefSeq lists it as uncharacterized. The record is from RefSeq and is a predicted model, not a curated record. The transcript is spliced from 3 exons. Lineage: Eukaryota; Metazoa; Chordata; Mammalia; Carnivora; Felidae.
CAUCAGACACUACCAGAGAUAUACAAAUCAAACCCACAAUGAGAUACCACCUCACACCCGUCAGAAUGCCUGAAGUUAACAAUUCAGGAAAUGACAGAAGUUGGCAAGGAUGUGGAGGAAGGGGAACCCUCUUACCCUGUUGGUGGGAACGCAAACUGGUGCAGCCACUCUGGAAAACGGUGUGGAGGUUCCUCGG